UACGUAGGGUGCGAGCGUUAAUCGGAAUUACUGGGCGUAAAGCGUGCGCAGGCGGUUUUGUAAGCCAGAUGUGAAAUCCCCGGGCUUAACCUGGGAAUGGCGUUUGGGACUGCAAGGCUUGAGUGCGGCAGAGGAGACUGGAAUUCCUGGUGUAGCAGUGAAAUGCGUAGAUAUCAGGAGGAACACCGAUGGCGAAGGCAGGUCUCUGGGCUGACACUGACGCUCAUGCACGAAAGCGUGGGGAGCAAACAGG
RNAcentral lists this ribosomal RNA (253 nucleotides) under uncultured bacterium. RNAcentral's name for it is "partial 16S ribosomal RNA". It matches the Rfam family "Bacterial small subunit ribosomal RNA", at positions 524 to 776 of the family's 1533-position model. The record is from RNAcentral.